Molecule: ribosomal RNA, 449 nt
Filed under: uncultured bacterium
Lineage: Bacteria
Description: partial 16S ribosomal RNA
Rfam family: Bacterial small subunit ribosomal RNA
Source: RNAcentral
AGCGAACGCUGGCGGAAUGCUUAACACAUGCAAGUCGCACGCCCUGCAAGGGGAGUGGCGGACGGGUGAGUAACGCGUAGGAAUAUGUCCAGAGGUGGGGGACAACCCUGGGAAACUGGGGCUAAUACCGCAUAUGGGCUGAGGCACAAAGCAGUGAUGCGCCUUUGGAGUAGCCUGCGUCCGAUGAGCUUGUUGGUGGGGUAAAGGCUUACCAAGGCGACGAUCGGUAGCUGGUCUGAGAGGACGACCAGCCACACUGGGACUGAGACACGGCCCAGACUCCUACGGGAGGCAGCAGUGGGGAAUAUUGGACAAUGGGCGCAAGCCUGAUCCAGCAAUUCCGCGUGGGUGAAGAAGGUCUUCGGAUUGUAAAGCCCUUUCGACGGGGACGAUGAUGACGGUACCCGUAGAAGAAGCCCCGGCUAACUUCGUGCCAGCCGCCGCAGUAA